RNAcentral lists this ribosomal RNA (468 nucleotides) under uncultured bacterium. RNAcentral's name for it is "partial 16S ribosomal RNA". It matches the Rfam family "Bacterial small subunit ribosomal RNA", at positions 28 to 507 of the family's 1533-position model. The record is from RNAcentral.
GACGAACGCUGGCGGCGUGCUUAACACAUGCAAGUCGAACGGAAAGGCCCUGCUUUUGUGGGGUGCUCGGGUGGCGAACGGGUGAGUAACACGUGAGUAACCUGCCCUUGACUUUGGGAUAACUUCAGGAAACUGGGGCUAAUACCGGAUAGGAGCUCCUGCUGCAUGGUGGGGGUUGGAAAGUUUCGGCGGUUGGGGAUGGACUCGCGGCUUAUCAGCUUGUUGGUGGGGUAGUGGCUUACCAAGGCUUUGACGGGUAGCCGGCCUGAGAGGGUGACCGGCCACAUUGGGACUGAGAUACGGCCCAGACUCCUACGGGAGGCAGCAGUGGGGAAUAUUGCACAAUGGGCGGAAGCCUGGUGCAGCAACGCCGCGUGCGGGAUGACGGCCUUCGGGUUGUAAACCGCUUUCGCCUGUGACGAAGCGUGAGUGACGGUAAUGGGUAAAGAAGCACCGGCUAACUACGUG